This is a long non-coding RNA of Hypomesus transpacificus, 1505 nucleotides long. RefSeq lists it as uncharacterized. The transcript has 4 exons. The record is from RefSeq and is a predicted model, not a curated record. Lineage: Eukaryota; Metazoa; Chordata; Actinopteri; Osmeriformes; Osmeridae.
GUAAGGCGACAUUUUCUGAUUCUGAUUUCAGAUUUUAACAAUCAAUUUGGUUUUGAAAUAAGGUCAAAAGAUAGGCAAAUUAGAUAGGCUAUUUGACUGUAUGAUAUGUUUUAACACAAAUGGUAUAUUUGUCCAUAGAAGUGUGGCGAUUUGUAAGAGCACAAAUCCCCGCUGUCCUGUUACCGUUGUCUCUGCAGACUGCCACUGCUGCACAACACACAUGCUAUUAAGCCUAUCUCAUAAAAUAUAUUUUUAGCACAAACUGUAUAUUAGUCUAUUGUAGGCUAUAGGCCUAUGUAUUUGGGUUCGGGUUAGAAGCGUCGAUUACCGGUCGUAUGUUUACAUUGAAGAGUGAAAAAUAUUUGCACUCGACAAAAUUUCAGGAGCUAGCUUUCUUGACUUUUCAUAGAUAUGUUUUAUCAUCCAGUAUUUUUCAUUUUCAAAAUCACACUGGGAAAAGCAGUAGGCAACAUGAGUGUAUGGCGGCUGACCUGAAUGUCUUUGUUUUCCAGAAGCUGGGGACAGAGGGGUAGGAAAUGUAUUUACUGAGCAUAUGCCUGCAUGAGGGAGUAUGUGUUGGUUGUAGGUGUUGUGAUUUUCUUAUAUUUAUUCCACCUGCAGUUCACUCUAUUCAGAGGUAAAGACUCUCCUCUGGCUACAGUGUGAAGACUGCAAAGGAUGGCUGCACACAGAUUGUGCUGGUGUCGCAGAGCAAUCCAUCAGAGAUCCCUACUGGUGUGGUUGCAAGAGACCUUUGCCUUUGAACUUUGAUGGGACACUAAGAGUUCUGCAGCAGGAUGGAGUGCAGGGUCUCAUUGGUGACGAUGAGCUCCAGAAAAUACAUCAAGCACUGGUGUCUGAUGAAAUUAAGUCAAGCCGGAUGUAUCUUUGGAGAAAUCCCGGAACCUCAUUGAAACUGAAGCAGCUUUUAAGACCAAAGCGUUUCCUUUUCAAUGAAGAUAAUAGUAUCAAACUACUUGACAGAAUAAAGGGUACUUUGGAGUUGGAUGGUGACUGGACACACUUGAUUUUCUGUUUGAUGUGAUGAAGCCUGAAGUAAGGAAAUAUCAAGUCAAUUCAUUUCACACCUUUUAUGUAAUGUAUAUGUCUAAAUUGGCCCUGGUCAAAAUAAUUGUAAUAAUAUAUUCUGUUACCGUUGUUUUUGAUGAGCAUUUCAAUUGUUGAUGUCUUUGUUAAGGUCACCAUCCACAUCAUCAGAAAGAACGACAGCGUUUGCCGGUACAUGGCUGAGAUGUGCCUUGCCUCAGGAACUGUGUUUGAGUGAAUAUAUAGUGUACUACAGUGUUUUGUACAUGUACAAAAAGUGUUUUGAAUUGUAUUAUUUAUGUUUUCAAAUACAUCUAUUUUUAUUGAAAAUAUGAAUGGUAUGUGUUGAUUUUUAUUUUAUUGAGAGAAAUGCUUGUAAACAAAGAAAACUAAUGUAACCUGGCUGUGCUAACUGACAGGGAACUGCAAUUUAACAGUGUAUUUGAAAAUGAAAAUAC